Cygnus olor (mute swan) is the source of this 3674-nucleotide long non-coding RNA. RefSeq lists it as uncharacterized. The transcript is spliced from 2 exons. The record is from RefSeq and is a predicted model, not a curated record. NCBI's taxonomy places the organism in Eukaryota, Metazoa, Chordata, Aves, Anseriformes, Anatidae.
UGGAACAGGGAGAAAUGGGGAGGAGAAGGAAGACAGGACUGUCCCCUUCGGGUGACAGCAGUGGUCACAAACCCGUCAGAGUCCUGUUGCACCACAUCUGCAGCCACCGCUGUCCCUGAGGGCCGUGAUUUCCCCAGGGGUGCCGGGGCAGCGGUGGUGUUGCAGCAGUGGUGAAAGGAGGCUGCGGUGAAUCAGCCCCGUGGUAGCAAACAGAAAGGUUCAAUUAGAAAAGCCAGCGGGAAAAUAAAGAUCUGCCUUGUUGCAAUGCGGUAGUUAUCCGUAGCAACCCCAAACAAAUAUCUGUGCGAGGGAGGCGAUUUCCACCCUGUUAAUCAGCAAACAAAGCCUUGGGGGUGUGAAGCUGGUGGGUACGGUGCUGAGCGCCACGAGUGGUGCGUAAUCAGCCUGCAUUUGCUGGAUCUGGCUGCUUGUGAGUGUGGCACAGCAAAACCGCAGGAGGAGCAGGAGUCAGUGUAUGGGGUCUCCUUGUCCAGCUCGAUUUCUGUGAGGGGGGAAGGCCAUUUUCUGGAUGAAGCCAGUGCUGCUUCAGGCAAACCUCCUUACAUCUAGUAGAGGGAGCUUCCAAAGUGACUUUUGUUGUAGAAGGAGAACCAAGUAUCCAAGCCAGGCAGAAGAGCUGGGCGACAAGGAACCUGAAGGGAUUUGACCCCUUGUGGUAAAAAGGCAACCAGGAAAGCUGUCAUGAAAUAAUGCUUCUAAAGGGAAAGGAGCUGGCCGUGGGGUGCAGCACGGCUCAGGGUGCAGCCCUGUCCACACCAGGGGAUUUUCUGGCUUAGCAGGGUCCCCUGCACUGCGUCACCUUUUGUCUUCCACUUUUCUGCAAAUCCCGGGCCCAUGCUGAUAAAACCCGGUGACACAAACAAAGCCUGACUCACGCUUACUCUGCACGUAAAAUGCAAAGUGGGUGACUGGGAAAAUCAGGGAUGGGUUUUGCUUCUGCUCCUUGGCUGCAAUUUCCUCUCGCUGUGGAAGAACCCUAGGCAGCAAAGCGGGAGUCGGUUUGAAGCCGAAUCCCGUGUUCCUAUUUUUAAAAUCCAAAUUUUGGAGUAGGAAAAAAAGCGGUAGGAAAAGAUGUUGAUUGUCACGCUGUUUUCUGUGGGCAGGUCUCUCUUGCUUUGCACAGCAGCGUGCAGAAUUGGAGUUUAUUGCUCUGACUGCUGCAUUGUUCGGCUUUACAAGUGCCUGAUGGCCAGAGCCAAAUACCGCAAUUGGUCUUGUUUCUGAUUACCCCUUGACUUUUUUGUUUGUUUUUCGCUUGCAGCUGGAAAUUUCCCCUGCUCUGAAAGCUGCCAAGCUGUGAUUCUCUCUGCCUGCAUCGCACCCGGCACCUUCUCCUCGCAGAGCUUCCCGUCGGGUUUGGUCAGGGACAGAGGACAGAUAGAGAGGUUGAUAAAGGUGGACUUGUGGCAAAAAGAGGACACCGCCACUUGUCCCUGAGCAAAUGGGGGGCCUUAUGUUUAACACCGGGCACCAAAUGCCUCCCCGGUCCCUUACCUAUAGGAAAGGGACAAAAACACUCAGGCCUGGGUGCAAAGAAAACGUGCAGGUGAAGCGGUGUGUCACAGUCCAUAAAGGCAUAUGGAGAAAUAUGGGGUUUAUGCGUCCCAGUGCGUUCUCCACCCAUUUUAAAUACAUUUGAGGUCUGGGUGGCUGCUCUGGAUUUGGUUUCUGCUGUAUAAAAAGAAGGCUUUUGGCGAUGGGGUUGUAUCUCCAAGUAGUUUUGAGCAUAAAUGAAGGCAGGGGUUGCCUCUUCCCUAGUCAAACCCACGCAGCAGGCAGUUGCAUUACUCUGUACAUUGAUUUGCACCCCCAGUUCAACUGGUUGAUAGCAAGAGUGAGAAGAAGACACCAGACCAGAGCCACUGUGCAAAUCAAAGCUGUAGUUGCACAGAAAUUGGUAGUAGCAACUCCCCGUGUAAUGCCAUAUGCUUCCUUUAUAAAAUGUUCCUCCCCUUUUCUGAGAAGCUCUAACAAAUCCAUUGCUUGCAGCAGGCUCAGUUUUCCCAAGGAGAAGCCCUUCUCUUUAUCGUGUGCAGCUCUGGGUUUUGCUGAGUGAGAAGCCAGCACAGAUCACCGUUUCUCUGUGUCAUCCCCAUCAUGAAAAUUUUAGGACCAGGCCUAUGUGGCUGGCUCUGUAAUAGCACAGAACGCUGCGCCGAGAGCUCCUGGGAUUCUCCAAGUGUAUGCAUUAUGCAUAGAUAUACUGAUAUUGUUUGUGGUUAUAUGAUCAAAUGCUUUUCUUUUUGGUAUAACACUUCUACUUCCUUCAGAGCUUGAUGGUUGCUCCCAUGGAAGCUCUCACUGGCCUCAGUAAAGCAGAAUCAAAAUCUUUAGGAAGAAAGUGAAGGGCAGCAUUAAAUGUACAGGAAAGCAGAAAUUUGUGAUUUGCUAACUUUUUCUUGCUCAGCCAAAAUCACUUUUUUUUUUUAACAUGCAAGCAGACAGGAUGCGGUACAUCUAUAUUUUACACUUACGCUAUGUAUUUUAUUUGGUAAUUUUUUUUUUCUUGGAUGAGCUUUGAACAAAUGCUAAGUUAUUCUUUAUACUUGGUAAUGCUGCAGAGAAUUCUUGAAUUAUUUAUUUCCUACAUUUUAGCUUAGUGUGUCUGGAUGCCUGAAAGCCAACUUUGUAACUGAUUGGGUGUUUGAAAUUUCUGAGAACAUUUAGCUUUCUCCUCCAACGGAGAGCAGUUUUCUAGAAGGUGCAGCAGCCUUGUUGUCAGAUAAGUGGUAAAUCAGAGCAAGAGGGGCUCAAGUCUGCCAGCGGGAUGUGGAAGAAGUUGCCUUCUGCUGGGUGGAGGUGGGCACAGGUUGCUUUGGUGCUGUCAGCUCCAGCACCCCAUCAUCGCUGCUGAUGUGCUUAUGGAGAAGGAGCCAAAGUUGUCAUCGAGGUCACAGGUUUUUAACAGGUGAAGGCAGGAUGCUGUUUUCCCCAUGUGGCCGGUGUAAGUGAGAUUCGAGGUGAGGAAAGGUGCUUUCCCGAGAAAGCAGCCCUCCACCCGUUUGCCUGCACCGCUCAUUUGUUCAGCUGCAUGAGUUUGCCAUGGCGAUUAUCAAAGCGAGUCUUGGCAACCAUUAUUGUAUACUUGGUGCUCAAGAGCGAGCAGCAGGUUGGCCGCGGUGGACAGCUGGCUCGUUCACAUGCGUGUACACAAACGUGCGUGUACACAAACGUGUACGCACACCCUGGCUGCCCGUCGUCCCCAGGGCUCCCUCUCCGUGCAUGUCGCUGGGUCAGAGCCUCCUGCUGUUGGGCUCCCUCGAUGCUGGGAGGGAGCUGGCAGGGAGAUGGGCGAAAUGCUGCUACAUUUUCACCCCGAGAAAGCAAGGCCAAGUAUAUAUAGUGCGUAUUGAGCCCUCCUCCCAGCUGGCAGAUAUUUCCGCGCUAAUGAGGGUGCAGUCAUCUCAUAGUCAGAGCACGUGCUGGGAGAAGGAGGGGAAGGGCGUUCGUGGGGACGUGCUCAAAUGUGUAUCUGCACUUUUAAAGGUUACGAUUUACAUUGGUCUCCCAAGUUCCUCUGCUGCUGGCAGAUGGAGUCAGCAGUGCCUGUUAGCCAUGUGCCGUGUCUGUGCUCAUGGCAUUACCCAGAGGAGGUCGUGGCUGAGUUGCUUUUUCUGCACAAAAGAAGUUCCCUCUCCUUUGCAGGAGCUGAA